Molecule: long non-coding RNA, 9288 nt
Filed under: Lathyrus oleraceus (garden pea)
Lineage: Eukaryota; Viridiplantae; Streptophyta; Magnoliopsida; Fabales; Fabaceae
Description: Pisum sativum (pea) long non-coding RNA (PSAT_LNC040482)
Source: RNAcentral
AGUUGUGAUCUUCCAUAUCCUUAUUUGACUAACAGAAGCCAUGGAGAAUUCCCCAUGGCAAUGCCUUUCAUUUUUGGGAGAUUUUGGUAAAGGGUCAGCGUUAAAUGUUUCUUGAUAACAAGAACACUAAUAACACUAUCAAUCUUCUCAUUUCUUGAUAACAAUAUACAAAAAUUAGCAAAACAAGAACACUAAUAACACUAUCAAUCUUCUCAUUUCUUGAUAACAAUAUACAAAAUUUAGCAAAACAAGAACACUAAUAACACUAUCAAUCUUCUCAUUUCUUGAUAACAAUAUACAAAAAUUAGCAAAACAAGAACACUAAUAACACUAUCAAUCUUCUCAUUUCUUAAUAACAAUUUACAAAAUUUAGCAAAACAAGAACACUAAUAACACUAUCAAUCUUUUCAUUUCUUCAUAACAAUAUACAGGUAAGUAUGCUAAGAAAAAAGAAGCAAAAAAAUAACUCACGCAAUAGAGUCCUAAAGAUGUGCGUACGGAUAUAGGAAGCAGCGGUGUGGCCUUUGAAGCCAUCAUAAAUUCCAACGAACUGUGCGUCAUGGCUUACAUCGUCCUAGUUGUGACCUUCCAUAUCCUUAUUUAACUAACAGAAGCCAUGGAGAAUUCCCCAUGGCAAUGCCUUUCAUUUUUGGGAGAUUUUGAUAAAGGGCCAGCGUUAAAUGUUUCUUGAUAACAAGAACACUAAUAACACUAUCAAUCUUCUCAUUUCUUGAUAACAAUAUACAAAAUUUAGCAAAACAAGAACACUAAUAACACUAUCAAUCUUCUCAUUUCUUGAUAACAAUAUACAAAAUUUAGCAAAACAAGAACACUAAUAACACUAUCAAUCUUCUCAUUUCUUGAUAACAAUAUACAAAAUUUAGCAAAACAAGAACACUAAUAACACUAUCAAUCUUCUCAUUUCUUGAUAACAAUAUACAAAAUUUAGCAAAACAAGAACACUAAUAACACUAUCAAUCUUCUCAUUUCUUGAUAACAAUAUACAAAAUUUAGCAAAACAAGAACACUAAUAACACUAUCAAUCUUCUCAUUUCUUGAUAACAAUAUACAAAAUUUAGCAAAACAAGAACACUAAUAACACUAUCAAUCUUCUCAUUUCUUGAUAACAAUAUACAAAAUUUAGCAAAACAAGAACACUAAUAACACUAUCAAUCUUCUCAUUUCUUGAUAACAAUAUACAAAAUUUAGCAAAACAAGAACACUAAUAACACUAUCAAUCUUCUCAUUUCUUGAUAACAAUAUACAAAAUUUAGCAAAACAAGAACACUAAUAACACUAUCAAUCUUCUCAUUUCUUGAUAACAAUAUACAAAAUUUAGCAAAACAAGAACACUAAUAACACUAUCAAUCUUCUCAUUUCUUGAUAACAAUAUACAAAAUUUAGCAAAACAAGAACACUAAUAACACUAUCAAUCUUCUCAUUUCUUGAUAACAAUAUACAAAAUUUAGCAAAACAAGAACACUAAUAACACUAUCAAUCUUCUCAUUUCUUGAUAACAAUAUACAAAAUUUAGCAAAACAAGAACACUAAUAACACUAUCAAUCUUCUCAUUUCUUGAUAACAAUAUACAAAAUAGAGAGAUCAAAUACAAGAACACUAUAACACUAUCAAUCUCUCAUUUCUUGAUAACAUAUACAAAAUUUAGCAAACAAGAACACUAAUAACACUAUCAUCUUCUCAUUUCUUGAUAACAAUAUACAAAAUUUAGCAAACAAGAACACUAAUAACACUAUCAAUCUUCUCAUUUUCUGAUAACAAUAUACAAAAUUUAGCAAAACAAGAACACUAAUAACAUCUAUCAUCUCCUUAUUCUUGAUAACAAUAUACAAAAUUUAGCAAACAAGAACACUAAUAACAUUAUCAAUCUUCUCAUUUCUUGAUAACAAUAUACAAAAUUUAGCAAAACAAGAACACUAAUAACACUAUCAAUCUUCUCAUUUCUUGAUAACAAUACAAAAUUUAGCAAAAGAACAACUAUAACACUAUCAAUCUUUUCAUUUCUUGAUAACAUAUACAAAUUUAGCAAACAAGAACACUAAUAACACUAUCAUCUUCUAUUUUUGAUACAAAUAUAAAAAUUUAGCAAAACAAGAACACUAAUAACACUAUCAUCUUCUCAUUUCUUGAUAACAAUAUACAAAAUUUAGCAAACAAGAACACUAAAAACACUAUCAAUCUUCUCAUUUCUUGUAACAAUAUACAAAAUUUAGCAAAACAAGAACACUAAUAACACUAUCAAUCUUUCAUUUCUUGAUAACAUUUACAAAAUUUAGCAAAACAAGAACACUAAUAACACUAUCAUCUUUCUCAUUCUUGAUAACAAUAUACAAAUUUUAGCAAAACAAGAACACUAUAACACUAUCAAUCUUCUCAUUUCUUGAUAACAAUAUACAAAAUUUAGCAAACAAGAACACUAUAACACUAUCAAUCUUUUCAUUUCUUGAUAACAAUAUACAAAAUUUAGCAAAACAAGAACACUAAUAACACUAUCAUUCUUCUCAUUUCUUGAUAACAUAUACAAAAUUUAGCAAAACAAGAACACUAAUAACACUAUCAAUCUUCUCAUUUCUUGAAACAAUAUACAAAAUUUAGCAAACAAGAACACUAAUAAACUAUCAAUCUUCUCAUUUCUUGAUAACAAUAUACAAAAUUAGCAAAACAAGAACACAUAAUACACUAUCAAUCUUCUCAUUUCUUGAUAACAAUAUACAAAUUUAGCAAAACAACAACACUAAUAACACUAUCAAUCUUCUCAUUUCUUGAUAACAAUAUACAAAUUUAGCAAAACAAGAACACUAAUAACACUAUCAAUCUUCUCAUUUCUUGAUAACAAUAUACAAAAUUUAGAAAAACAAGAACACUAACAACAUUAUCAAUCUCCUUAUUUCUUGAUAACAAUAUACAAAAUUUAGCAAAACAAGAACACUAAAAACACUAUCAAUCUUAUCAUUUCUUGAUUACAAUAUACAAAAUUUAGCAAAACAAGAACACUACUAACACUAUCAAUCUUCUCAUUUCUUGAUAACAAUAUACAAAAUUUAGCAAAACAAGAACACUAAUAACACUAUCAAUCUUUUCAUUUCUUCAUAACAAUAUACAGGGAAGUAUGCUAAGAAAAAAGAAGCAAAAAAAUAACUCACGUAACAGAGUCCUAAAGAUGUGCGUACGGAUAUAGGAAGCAGCGGUGUGGCCUUUGAAGCCAUCAUAAAUUCCAACGAACAGUGCGUCAUGGCUUACAUCGUCCUAGUUGUGAUCUUCCAUAUCCUUAUUUUACUAACAGAAGCAAUGGAGAAUUCCCCAUGGCAAUGCCUUUCAUUUUUGGGAGAUUUUGGUAAAGGGUCAGCGUUAAAUGUUUCUUGAUAACAAGAACACUAAUAACACUAUCAAUCUUCUCAUUUCUUGAUAAUAAUAUACAAAAAUUAGCAAAACAAGAACACUUAUCAGACUAUCAACCUUCUCAUUUUUUGAUAACAAUAUACAAAAUUUAGCAAAACAAGAACACUAAUAACACUAUCAAUCUUCUCAUUUCUUGACAACAAUAUACAAAAUUUAGCAAAACAAGAACACUAAUAACACUAUCAAUCUUCUCAUUUCUUGAUAACAAUAUACAAAAUUUAGCAAAACAAGAACACUAAUAACACUAUCAAUCUUCUCAUUUCUUGAUAACAAUAUACAAAAUUUAGCAAAACAAGAACACUAGUAACACUAUCAAUCUUCUCAUUUUUUUGAUAACAAUAUACAAAAUUUAGCAAAACAAGAACACUAAUAACACUAUCAAUCUUCUCAUUUCUUGACAACAAUAUACAAAAUUUAGCGAAACAAGAACACUAAUAACACUAUCAAUAUUCUCAUUUCUUGAUAACAAUAUACAAAAUUAGCAAAACAAGAACACUAAUAACACUAUCAAUCUUCUAAUUUCUAGAUAACAAUAUACAAAAUUUUAGCAAAACAACAACACUAAUAACACUAUCAAUCUUCUCAUUUCUUGAUAACAAUAUACAAAUUUAGCAAAACAAGAACACUAAUAACACUAUCAAUCUUCUUAUUUCUUGAUAACAAUAUACAAAAUUUAGCAAAACAAGAACACUAACAACAUUAUCAAUCUCCUUAUUUCUUGAUAACAAUAUACAAAAUUUAGCAAAACAAGAACACUAAAAACACUAUCAAUCUUCUCAUUUCUUGAUAACAAUAUUAACAAAAUUUAGCAAAACAAGAAACACUAAUAACACUAUCAAUUUUCUCAUUUCUUGAUAACAAUAUACAAAUUUAGCAAAACAAGAACACUAAUAACACUAUCAAUCUUCUCAUUCUUGAUAACAAUAUACAAAAUUUAGCAAACAAGAACACUAAUAACACUAUCAAUCUUCUCAUUCUUGAUAACAAUAUACAAAUUUAGCAAAACAAGAACUACUAACACUAUCAAUCUUCUCAUUUCUUGAUAACAAUAUACAAAAUUUAGCAAAACAAGAACAUAAUAACACUAUCAAUCUUCUCAUUUCUUGAUAACAAUAUACAAAAUUAGCAAAACAAGAACAUAAUAACACUAUCAAUCUUCUAUUUCUGUAACAAUAUACAAAAUUUAGCAAAACAAAACACUAAUAACACUAUCAAUCUUCUCAUUUCUUGAUAACAAUAUACAAAUUUAGCAAAACAAGAACACUAAUAACACUAUCAAUCUUCUCAUUUCUUGAUACAAUACAACAAAUUUAGCAAACAAGAACACUAAAACACAUCAUCUCUUAUUUCUUGAUAACAUUACAAAAUUUAGCAAACAAGAACACUAAUAAACUAUCAAUCUUCUCAUUUCUGAUAACAAUAUACAAAUUUAGCAAAACAAGAACACUAUAACACUAUCAAUCUUCUCAUUUCUUAGAAACAAUAUACAAAAUUUAGCAAAACAAGAACACUAAUAACACUUCAAUCUUCUCAUUCUUGAUAACAAUAUACAAAAUUUAGCAAAACAAGAACCACUAAUAACACUAUCAAUCUUCUCAUUUCUUGAUAACAAUAUACAAAAUUUAGCAAAACAAGAACACUAUAACACUAUCAAUCUUCUCAUUUUUUUGAUAACAAUAUACAAAAUUUAGCACAAACAGAACACUAUCUAAUCUUCUCAUUUCUUGAAACAAUAUACAAAAUUUAGCAAAACAAGAACACUAAAACUAUCAAUUUCUCAUUUCUUGAUAACAAUAUACAAAAUUUAGCAAAACAAAGAAACACUAAUAACACUAUCAAUCUUCUCAUUUUCUGAUAACAAUAUACAAAAUUUAGCAAACAAAACACUAAUAACACUAUCAAUCUUCUCAUUUCUUGAUAACAUAUAACAAAUUUAGCAAAAACAAGAACACUAAUAACACUAUCAAUCUUCUAUUUCUUGAUAACAAUAUACAAAAUUUAGCAAAAAACAAGAACACUAACAACUAUCAAUCUCUUAUUUUCUUGAUAACAAUAUACAAAUUUUAGCAAAACAAGAACACUAAUAACACUAUCAAUCUUCUCAUUUCUUGAUAACAAUAUACAAAAUUUAGCAAAACAAGAACACUAAUAACACUAUCAAUCUUCUCAUUUCUUGUAACAAUUACAAAAUUUAGCAAACAAGAACACUAAUAACACUAUAAUCUUCUCAUUUCUAUAACAAUAUACAGUAGUAUUAAGAAAAAAGACGCAAAAAAAUAACUCACUAAUAACCCUAACGAAUGUGCGUACAUAUAGAAAGCAGCGUUCUUAACAUCUAAAUUCCACGAACAGUGCGUCAUGCUUACAUCGUCCUAGUUGUGAUCUUCAUAUCUUAUUUGACUAAAAAGCAUGGAGAAUUCCCAUGCAAUGCUUCUCAUUUUUGAAUUUUUAAAGGGUCAGCGUUAAAUGUUUCUUGAAACAAGAACACUAAUAACACUAUCAAUCUUCUCAUUUCUUGAUAACAAUAUACAAAAAUUAGCAAAACAAAAAACACUAAUAACACUAUCAACCUUCUCAUUUCUUGAUAACAAUUAUACAAUUUAGCAAACAAGACUAUACACUAUCAAUCUUCUCUUUUUGAUAACAAUAUACAAAUUUAGCAAACAAGAACACUAAUACACUAUCAAUCUUCUCAUUUCUUGAAACAAUAUACAAAAUUUAGCAAACAAGAAAAACUAAUAACAUAUCAAUCUUCUCAUUUCUUGAUAACAUAUACAAAAUUUAGCAAAACAAGAAACAUAAUAAACUAUCAAUCUUCUUUUCUUGAUAACAAUAUACAAAAUUUAGCAAAACAAGAACACUAAUAACACUAUCAAUCUUCUCAUUUCUUGAUAACAAUAUACAAAUUUAGCAAAAACAAGAACACUAAUAACACUAUCAUCUUCUCAUUUCUUGAUAACAAUAUACAAAUUUAGCAAAACAAGAACACUAAAACAUUAUCAAUCUCCUUAUUUCUUUAAACAAUAAUCAAAAUUUAGCAAACCAAGAACACUAAAAACACAAAUCAAUCUUCUCAUUUCUUGAUAACAAUAUACAAAAUUUAGAAAAACAAGAACACUAAUAACACUAUCAAUCUUCUCAUUUCUUGAUAACAAUAUACAAAAUUUAGCAAAACAAGAACACUAAUAACACUAUCAAUCUUCUCUUUCAGUACAAUUCCAAACAAGAACACUAAUAACACUAUCAUCUUCUCAUUUCUGAUAACAAUAUACAAAAUUAGCAAAAAACAGAACACUAAUACCACUAUCAACUUCUCAUUUCUUGAUAACAAUAUACAAAAUUUAGCAAAACAAGAACACUAAUAACACUAUCAAUCUUCCUCAUUUCUUGGAUAAAAUAUCCAAAUUUAGCAAAACAAGAACACUAUAACAACUAUCAAUCUUCCUAUUUCUUGAUAACAAUAUACAAAAUUUAGCAAAAGAACACUAAUAACACUAUCAAUCUUCUCAUUUCUUGAUAAAAUAUACAAAAUUUAGCAAAACAAGACACUAAUAACACUAUCAAUCUUCUCAUUUCUUGAUAAAAUAUACAAAAUUUAGCAAAACAAGAACACUAAUAACUAUCAAUCUUCUCAUUUCUUGAUAACAAUAUACAAAAUUUAGCAAAACAAGAACACUAUAACACUAUCAAUCUUCUCAUUUUUGAUAACAAUAUACAAAAUUUAGCAAAACAAGAACACUAAUAACACUAUCAAUCUUCUCAUUUCUUGACAAGAAAUAAAAACUUGAAACAAGAACCUAUAAACACUAUCAAUCUUCUCAUUUCUUGAUAACAAUAUACAAAAUUAGCAAAACAAGAACACUAAACAACAUUAUCAUCUCUUAUUUCUUGAUAACAAUAUAAAAACAAAUUUAGCAAAACAAGAAACACUAAUCAACACUAUCAUUCUUCUCAUUUCUUGAUAACAAUAUACAAAUUAGCAAAACAAGAACACUAAUAACACUAUCAAUCUUCUCAUUUCUUGAUAACAAUAUACAAAAUUUAGCAAAACAAGACACUAAUAACACUAUCAAUCUUCAUUUCUUGAUAACAAUAUACAAAAUUUAGCAAAACAAGCACUAAUAACACUAUAUCUUCUCAUCUUCUAAAUAUACUUUAGCAAAACAAGAACACUAAUAACACUAUCAUCUUCUCAUUUCUUGAUAACAAUAUACAAAUUUAGCAAAAACAGACACUAAUAACACUAUCAAUCUUCUCAUUUCUUGUAACAAUAUACAAAAUUUAGCAAAACAAGAACACUAAUAACACUAUCAAUCUUUCUCAUUUCUUGAUAACAAUAUACAAAAUUUAGCAAACAAGAACACUAAUAACACUAUCAAUCUUCUCAUUUCUGAUAACAAUAUAACAAAUUUAGCAAAACAAGAACACUAAUAACACUAUCAAUCUUUCAUUUCUUGAUAACAAUAUACAAAAUUUAGCAAACAAGAACACUAAUAACACUAUCAAUCUUCUCAUUUUUGUGAACAAUAUACAAAAUUUAGCAAAACAAGAACACUAAUAACACUAUCAAUCUUCUCAUUUCUUGAUAACAAUAUACAAAAUUUAGCAAAACAAGAACACUAAUAACACUAUCAAUCUUCUCAUUUCUUGAUAACAAUAUACAAAAUUAGCAAAACAAGAAACUAAUAACACUAUCAAUCUUCUCAUUUCUUGAUAACAAUAUACAGUAAGUAUGCUAAGAAAAAGAAGCAAAAAAUAACUCACGUAAUAGUCCUAUAAGAUGUGCGUACGAUAUAGGAAGCAGUGUGGCCUUUGAAGCCAUCAUAAAUUCCAACGAACAGUGCGUCAUGGCUUACAUGUCGCUAGUUGUGAUCUUCCAUAUCCUUAUUUUGCUAACAGAAGCAUGGAGAAUUCCCAUGGCAAUGCCUUUCAUUUUUGGGAGAUUUUUGUAAAGGUCAGCGGUUAAAUGUUUCUUGAUAACAGACAUAAUAACACUAUCAAUUUCUCAUUUCUUGUAACAAUAUACAAAAUUAGCAAAAAAGAACACAAUAAACUAUCAACUUCUCAUUUCUGAUAACAAUAUACAAAAUUAGCAAAACAAAACACUAUAACACUAUCAAUCUUCUCAUUUCUUGAUAAAAUUAAAAUUUAGCAAAAUAAGAACACUAAUAACACUAUCAAUCUCUUAUUUUUGAUAACAAUAUACAAAAUUGCAAAAAAGAACUAUCCUCAUCUCCAUUCUUGAUAACAAUAUAAAAUUUAGCAAAACAAAUAAUAACAUAUCAUCUCAUUUCUUGAUAACAAUAUACAAAAUUUAGCAAAACAAGAACACUAAUAACACUAUCAAUCUUCUCAUUUCUUGAUAACAAUAUACAAAUUUAGCAAAACAAGAAACACUAAUAACACUAUCAAUCUUUCAUUCUUAUAACAAUAUACAGAUAAGUAUGCUAAGAAAAAGAAGCAAAAAAUAAUACUCACGAAUAGAGUCCUAAAGAUGUGCGUACGGAUAUAGGAAGCAGCGUGUGGCCUUUGAAGCCAUCAUAAAUUCCAACGAACAGUGCGUCAUGCUUACAUCGAUCCUACGUUGUGAUCUUCCAUAUCCUUAUUUGACUAAAGAGCAUGGAGAAUUCCCCAUGGCAAUGCCUUUCAUUUUGGAGAGAUUUUGUAAAGGGUCAGCGUCAAAGUUUCUUGAUAACAAGAAACACUAAUAACACUAUCAUCUUCUCAUUUCUUGAUACAAUAUACAAAAAUAGCAAACAAAACACUAAUAACACUAUCAACCUUCUCAUUUCUUGAUAACAAUAUACAAAAUUUAGCAAAACAAAGAAACACUAAUAACACUAUCAAUCUUCUCAUUUUUUGAUAACAAUA